UGAAGAGUUUGAUCAUGGCUCAGAUUGAACGUUGGCGGCAGGCCUAAGACAUGCAAGUCGAGCGGAAACGACACCUUCGGGUGGGCGUCGAGCGGCGGACGGGUGAGUAACGCGUAGGAAUCUACCCAGUAGCGGGGGAUAGCCCGGGGAAACUCGGAUUAAUACCGCAUACGCCCUACGGGGGAAAGGUGGCCUCUUCUUGAAAGCUACCGCUAUUGGAGGAGCCUGCGUUGGAUUAGCUAGUUGGUGGGGUAAUGGCCUACCAAGGCGACGAUCCAUAGCUGGUCUGAGAGGACGAUCAGCCACACUGGGACUGAGACACGGCCCAGACUCCUACGGGAGGCAGCAGUCGGGAAUAUUGGACAAUGGGCGCAAGCCUGAUCCAGCCAUGCCGCGUGUGUGAAGAAGGCCUUAGGGUUGUAAAGCACUUUCAGGAGUGAAGAAAAGCGAGGGGUGAAUAAUUUCUCGUCUUGACGUUAGCUUCAGAAGAAGCACCGGCUAACUCCGUGCCAGCAGCCGCGGUAAGACGGAGGAUGCAAGUGUUAUCCGGAAUUACUGGGCGUAAAGCGUCUGUAGGUGGUUUAGUAAGUCGAUUGUUAAAGCUUGGGGCUUAACUCCAAAACAGCAAUGGAAACUGCUAGACUUGAGUAUGGUAGAGGUAAAAGGAAUUUCCAGUGGAGCGGUGAAAUGCGUAGAUAUUGGAAAGAACACCGAUGGCGAAGGCAUUUUACUGGGCCAUAACUGACACUCAGAGACGAAAGCUAGGGUAGCAAAUGGGAUUAGAUACCCCAGUAGUCCUAGCUGUAAACGAUGGAUACUAGAUGUUGCACGUAUCGACCCGUGCAGUGUCAUAGCUAACGCGUUAAGUAUCCCGCCUGGGAAGUAUGCACGCAAGUGUGAAACUCAAAGGAAUUGACGGGGGCCCGCACAAGCGGUGGAGCAUGUGGUUUAAUUCGAUGCAACGCGAAGAACCUUACCAGCCCUUGACAUCUUCGGAACUUGGUAGAGAUACCUUGGUGCCUUCGGGAACCGAAUGACAGGUGUUGCAUGGCUGUCGUCAGCUCGUGUUGUGAAAUGUUUGGUUAAGUCCUUUAACGAGCGCAACCCUCCUUUUUAGUUGCUAAUAAGAUACUCUAGAAAUAGAUUUACGAUGAGUAAAUGGAAGAAGGAUGACGUCAAGUCCUCAUGGCCCUUACGGGUAGGGCUACACACGUGCU
Molecule: ribosomal RNA, 1217 nt
Filed under: Florenciella parvula
Lineage: Eukaryota; Dictyochophyceae; Florenciellales
Description: partial Bacterial small subunit ribosomal RNA
Rfam family: Bacterial small subunit ribosomal RNA
Source: RNAcentral